GAUGAACGCUGGCGGCGUGCCUAAUACAUGCAAGUCGAGCGAACAGACGAGGAGCUUGCUCCUCUGACGUUAGCGGCGGACGGGUGAGUAACACGUGGAUAACCUACCUAUAAGACUGGGAUAACUUCGGGAAACCGGAGCUAAUACCGGAUAAUUUAUUGAACCGCAUGGUUCAAUAGUGAAAGACGGUUUUGCUGUCACUUAUAGAUGGAUCCGCGCCGCAUUUGCUAGUUGGUAAGGUAACGGCUUACCAAGGCAACGAUGCGUAGCCGACCUGAGAGGGUGAUCGGCCACACUGGAACUGAGACACGGUCCAGACUCCUACGGGAGGCAGCAGUAGGGAAUCUUCCGCAAUGGGCGAAAGCCUGACGGAGCAACGCCGCGUGAGUGAUGAAGGUCUUCGGAUCGUAAAACUCUGUUAUUAGGGAAGAACAAAUGUGUAAGUAACUAUGCACGUCUUGACGGUACCUAAUCAGAAAGCCACGGCUAACUACGUG
This 497-nucleotide ribosomal RNA is filed under the name uncultured bacterium. RNAcentral's name for it is "partial 16S ribosomal RNA". It matches the Rfam family "Bacterial small subunit ribosomal RNA", at positions 28 to 507 of the family's 1533-position model. The record is from RNAcentral.